CAUGGCUAGUUAAAGAUCAAGUUAGAAUUUUGUUCCGGUUUGAUGAUUUUGUGCAGAGUUAUGGUCAUUGGACUUGGAAUACUUGGACCAGGGAAAGAAACUUGAACUUGUAGUUUGUAAGGGAAACCCAAAUACUUAAAAAAAAAAGAAACAAAAAAGAUACAAAAAGUGACACUCAAACUAAUAAUUUGAAAAUAAAUCUUGACAACACCAAGUCAAAAAAAAGAAAAAGAUAAUAAGUAGAAAG
Molecule: long non-coding RNA, 247 nt
Filed under: Mytilus galloprovincialis (Mediterranean mussel)
Lineage: Eukaryota; Metazoa; Mollusca; Bivalvia; Mytilida; Mytilidae
Source: RNAcentral